CAAAUUGCUAUCGUAAGCUACGGUGAAGAGAAGCCUCUACUACUAGGCCAGACUGAAGAAGUCUACGCGAAAAACCGUCGCGCAGUUCUAGUAUACUAAUUGAGGAAUUGCCUCAUGUUCAGUAACACUAA
This 131-nucleotide small RNA is filed under the name Vibrio vulnificus. Its description in RNAcentral is "CpoB/ybgF ICR thermometer". The record is from RNAcentral. Lineage: Bacteria; Pseudomonadati; Pseudomonadota; Gammaproteobacteria; Vibrionales; Vibrionaceae.